This 119-nucleotide ribosomal RNA is filed under the name Helianthus annuus (common sunflower). The record is from RNAcentral. Lineage: Eukaryota; Viridiplantae; Streptophyta; Magnoliopsida; Asterales; Asteraceae.
GGUUGCGAUCAUACCAGCACUAAUGCACCAGAUCCCAUCUGGACUCCAUAGUUAAGCGUGCUUGGGUGAGAGUAGUACUAGGAUGGGUGACCCCCUGGGAAGUCCUCGUGUUGCAACUC